Oncorhynchus kisutch (coho salmon) is the source of this 353-nucleotide long non-coding RNA. RefSeq lists it as uncharacterized. NCBI's taxonomy places the organism in Eukaryota, Metazoa, Chordata, Actinopteri, Salmoniformes, Salmonidae. The transcript has 3 exons. The record is from RefSeq and is a predicted model, not a curated record.
GUUGACAGUUAUUGAUCUACAAGUCAUUUUGCAUGCUGAACAACCCUAGCGAAUAUCAGUAGCCUAGUCAAACUGCCCACUGUGCCCAGCUUCGCAGGCUGACCAAUGCGAGACCUCUUCCACUUUGACAAUUGGCAUAUUGUCUUAAGCGUGUGGGUGGGGUGCCGUUUCCGUCAACUCUUCCACAGAUGCGGACUGGUUACUUGCAAAGGUGGGAUAAAGUCACUAUUAUUCGAGUCACAAGAAAGACUGAAGUCACGAGGUCUAAUUUGAUUUGAUGAUCUUCAUCAGAAUGCACUCCCAGGAAUCCCAUUUCCCCAAUAAAUGUUUGUUUUGUUCGAUAAUGUUCAUAA